Chinchilla lanigera (long-tailed chinchilla) is the source of this 644-nucleotide long non-coding RNA. RefSeq lists it as uncharacterized. The record is from RefSeq and is a predicted model, not a curated record. Lineage: Eukaryota; Metazoa; Chordata; Mammalia; Rodentia; Chinchillidae. The transcript has 2 exons.
CCUCGCAUCUCCCACUGGCGGGCACCUGGGCAGGUGGGCUUUCUCCGUGCUGGGCCUGGGCCCCCGGGGUCCCGCGGAGGCUGAAGGCAGAGCGCACGCAGGUGUAGCUGAGGCUGCAGACACAUCGCACUGUCCACACCGGCUCCGGGUCCAACCCAUCCUGAGAUCACGCCCGCCGCUAUCCUCACAGAGCAGACCGCAGCGUUCAAGGUCAAGUCCAAGCACACGCUGAUUUCACUUUUCCUCCCGCCCCAAACACACCAGCUUCGCAAGCUCCUUUCACAGCUCACCUAGGGCUCCCGUGGCCGACCGGAAGGCAGGGCCCGGCCCAGCGCCAGGAGUGGGGGCGGGCUCUGCCGCUGUGUGCCAUGGCCCGGUCACAAGGCGACAUUGCUGUCGGAAGUGAAGAAAUGAAAUCAGAAUUUCCACGUGCCGCGGGAGGUAUCGGGAAACAAGCACCAGGACGAGAACUAGGACGAGACGUGGAGAGGAGAAAUACACGAGCCCUUUAGCGUGGUGCGGGCGCUGUCCUACCUGACGUAUUUUCAGAACGGCUCAGCGGACCUGGCAAGCAGCAUAUGGGAACCUUUGCAAUUUCGCUGUAGAUUUAAAAUUAUCCCAUAAUAAAAGGGUUACUUCCUUUA